UAUGCAUAUGAUGACAAAAAAGACAAGGACAUCAUCACUCCAAUGGAAAAUGUUAACUUAGUCUAAUGGGAGGGAAUCUUUGAGAUGCGUU
Non-coding RNA from Cicer arietinum (chickpea), 91 nucleotides. Lineage: Eukaryota; Viridiplantae; Streptophyta; Magnoliopsida; Fabales; Fabaceae. The record is from Rfam.